RNAcentral lists this ribosomal RNA (476 nucleotides) under uncultured organism. RNAcentral describes it as "partial 16S ribosomal RNA". It matches the Rfam family "Bacterial small subunit ribosomal RNA", at positions 334 to 801 of the family's 1533-position model. The record is from RNAcentral.
CACUCCUGCGGGAGGCAGCAGUGGGGAAUUUUGGACCAUGGGCGAAAGCCUGAUCCAGCAAUGCCGCGUGUGUGAAGAAGGCCUUCGGGUUGUAAAGCACUUUUGUCCGGAAAGAAAUCCUUGGCUCUAAUACAGUCGGGGGAUGACGGUACCGGAAGAAUAAGCACCGGCUAACUACGUGCCAGCAGCCGCGGUAAUACGUAGGGUGCGAGCGUUAAUCGGAAUUACUGGGCGUAAAGCGUGCGCAGGCGGUUUGCUAAGACCGAUGUGAAAUCCCCGGGCUCAACCUGGGAACUGCAUUGGUGACUGGCAGGCUAGAGUAUGGCAGAGGGGGGUAGAAUUCCACGUGUAGCAGUGAAAUGCGUAGAGAUGUGGAGGAAUACCGAUGGCGAAGGCAGCCCCCUGGGCCAAUACUGACGCUCAUGCACGAAAGCGUGGGGAGCAAACAGGAUUAGAUACCCUUGUAGUCCCAUGAU